This 835-nucleotide long non-coding RNA is filed under the name Homo sapiens (human). Its description in RNAcentral is "long non-coding RNA NONHSAT194239.1". Lineage: Eukaryota; Metazoa; Chordata; Mammalia; Primates; Hominidae. The record is from RNAcentral.
CUGGUCUCUAGUCCCACACAGUCAUUUGCAGGUAUCCGGAGGAACCUAUUUGAAAGUAACUGUCUAUUGUUUCUCCUUUAUUUACAAGGGUUCUGGGGAGGAGUGAAAAUGACAAAAGAGAGGUGGCAGGAAGGAGGAGGAUGUUUGAGUAUUCCCACAAACGGUUGAUUAGUCAGUGAAUUAAAGAGAGUUCUUGUUCCUGGAUAAUUUGGAAUGAACACAUUUCCUGUUCACUCAGAGAUACAGCAGCGAGUUUAUUCUGGGUGGCUUCCACAGUGACCAUUGUGGAGAAGAAAUCUUGUAAUAUAAUUGAAGAACAAUAGCCAUAUAAUUAACACAGAUGUUCAGGUAUGAGUCAUUGAAAAAUUAUCAUCCUUACUGUGAAAUAAGAUUGGUCAAGGCGAGGCUGGUCCUUCAAAGAAGGAAAACCCAACAUGGUGCAAUGUGUGCUGCAGGUAAGGCCGUGGUGUGAUUUUGAACGCAAAGUUGCCUCUGGCUCAAGUUCUCUUGGGCUCGAGUCCCAGGCUCUUGCUUGUAACUCCUCUAUUGCUUGUCACUGUUAUGUAGAGCAGUGUUUCUCAAGUUUGAGUGAAUCUUCAAAUAACCUGGUGGGCUUGUUGAAACACAUAUUCCUGAGUUGGAUGUCCAGAAAUUCGGAUUUAGUAGGUCUGUGGUGGGGCCCAGAAUAUUCAUUUUUAACAAGUUGCUAUGUGAUGUUGCUGCUGCUGCUGCUACUAGGUGUUGAAUCACACUUUGUGUAGCACCAAGUGCAGACUUCUGAGAGGGUCAAUGGACAUCAAAUAAGUUUAAUGAGAGUGAAUGAAUGUGUCAGGUG